GAUGAACGCUGGCGGCGUGCCUAAUACAUGCAAGUCGAGCGAACAGACGAGGAGCUUGCUCCUCUGACGUUAGCGGCGGACGGGUGAGUAACACGUGGAUAACCUACCUAUAAGACUGGGAUAACUUCGGGAAGCCGGAGCUAAUACCGGAUAAUAUAUUGAACCGCAUGGUUCAAUAGUGAAAGACGGUUUUGCUGUCACUUAUAGAUGGAUCCGCGCCGCAUUAGCUAGUUGGUAAGGUAACGGCUUACCAAGGCAACGAUGCGUAGCCGACCUGAGAGGGUGAUCGGCCACACUGGAACUGAGACACGGUCCAGACUCCUACGGGAGGCAGCAGUAGGGAAUCUUCCGCAAUGGGCGAAAGCUUGACGGAGCAACGCCGCGUGAGUGAUGAAGGUCUUCGGAUCGUAAAACUCUGUUAUUAGGGAAGAAUAAAUGUGUAAGUAACUAUGCACGUCUUGACGGUACCUAAUCAGAAAGCCACGGCUAACUACGUG
RNAcentral lists this ribosomal RNA (497 nucleotides) under uncultured bacterium. Its description in RNAcentral is "partial 16S ribosomal RNA". It matches the Rfam family "Bacterial small subunit ribosomal RNA", at positions 28 to 507 of the family's 1533-position model. The record is from RNAcentral.